This 253-nucleotide ribosomal RNA is filed under the name uncultured bacterium. RNAcentral's name for it is "partial 16S ribosomal RNA". It matches the Rfam family "Bacterial small subunit ribosomal RNA", at positions 524 to 776 of the family's 1533-position model. The record is from RNAcentral.
UACGGGGGGGGUAAGCGUUGUUCGGAAUUACUGGGCGUAAAGGGCUCGUAGGCGGCCAACUAAGUCAUACGUGAAAUCCCUCAGCUUAACUGGGGAACUGCGUGUGAUACUGGAUGGCUUGGAUUUGGGAGAGGGAUGCGGAAUUCCAGGUGUAGCGGUGAAAUGCGUAGAUAUCUGGAGGAACACCGGUGGCGAAGGCGGCAUCCUGGACCAAUAUUGACACUGAGGAGCGAAAGCCAGGGGAGCAAACGGG